Molecule: ribosomal RNA, 433 nt
Filed under: uncultured bacterium
Lineage: Bacteria
Description: partial 16S ribosomal RNA
Rfam family: Bacterial small subunit ribosomal RNA
Source: RNAcentral
AACGAACGCUGGCGGCAUGCCUAACACAUGCAAGUCGAACGAGACCUUCGGGUCUAGUGGCGCACGGGUGCGUAACGCGUGGGAACCUGCCCUUAGGUUCGGAAUAACUCCCCGAAAGGGGUGCUAAUACCGGAUAAUGUCUUCGGACCAAAGAUUUAUCGCCUUUGGAUGGGCCCGCGUUGGAUUAGCUAGUUGGUAGCGUAAAAGCCUACCAAGGCGACGAUCCAUAGCUGGUCUGAGAGGAUGAUCAGCCACACUGGGACUGAGACACGGCCCAGACUCCUACGGGAGGCAGCAGUGGGGAAUAUUGGACAAUGGGCGAAAGCCUGAUCCAGCAAUGCCGCGUGAGUGAUGAAGGCCUUAGGGUUGUAAAGCUCUUUUACCCGGGAUGAUAAUGACAGUACCGGGAGAAUAAGCGCCGGCUAACUCCGUG